UGGGGAAUAUUGGACAAUGGGCGAAAGCCUGAUCCAGCCAUGCCGCGUGUGUGAAGAAGGUCUUCGGAUUGUAAAGCACUUUAAGUUGGGAGGAAGGGCAGUAAGCUAAUACCUUGCUGUUUUGACGUUACCGACAGAAUAAGCACCGGCUAACUCUGUGCCAGCAGCCGCGGUAAUACAGAGGGUGCAAGCGUUAAUCGGAAUUACUGGGCGUAAAGCGCGCGUAGGUGGUUCGUUAAGUUGGAUGUGAAAUCCCCGGGCUCAACCUGGGAACUGCAUCCAAAACUGGCGAGCUAGAGUAUGGUAGAGGGUGGUGGAAUUUCCUGUGUAGCGGUGAAAUGCGUAGAUAUAGGAAGGAAAACCAGUGGCGAAGGCGACCACCUGGACUGAUACUGACACUGAGGUGCGAAAGCGUGGGGGGCAAACAGG
RNAcentral lists this ribosomal RNA (429 nucleotides) under Actinomycetes bacterium. Its description in RNAcentral is "Actinobacteria bacterium partial 16S ribosomal RNA". It matches the Rfam family "Bacterial small subunit ribosomal RNA", at positions 355 to 776 of the family's 1533-position model. Lineage: Bacteria; Bacillati; Actinomycetota; Actinomycetes. The record is from RNAcentral.